Molecule: long non-coding RNA, 1171 nt
Filed under: Cyanistes caeruleus (blue tit)
Lineage: Eukaryota; Metazoa; Chordata; Aves; Passeriformes; Paridae
Description: lncRNA (ENSCCEG00000002900.1)
Source: RNAcentral
GACGGCGAGGCGGGAAGGGGCGGUCUCGAGCGCUGAGGGGUGGGGCUCCGUGAGGGCUCCGGGGAGGGCCGCGGGCGGAUCCCGCUGCUCUCGCGGUUAUGUUCAAACUGUCCUGUUUCUAGUAGUCCCACUGGUUCUUGAAGAUGUUGCAGACUAUGAUUAACUAUGGGAAGAAAUACAUCCUAAGGAUUGAGGCAACAUGAGGACAGCUGGUCACUGUAGCUGCAAACAUGAUUCUAAUAACUCAGCAAAAGCACAAAGGAGCAGUCUGGGAAGUAUCUGCCCACCUGUGCUCGUGGAGAUGCCUGACUGCAAAUAGAGGUGCUGAACCAGUCUCCGGUGCUCAGGUGGGGACACAGACUGUUCUUACAAGUGUGGACAGUCUGUCUGAGCUAAAGCUCAAAGAUUAUUGCUUCAGUUGCUCAAAUACAAAAGAUGGGAAGGACUGUGACAGCACAAGAUCAAGUGCAGCUCUCUGCAAAGGAACGUUCCGUGCAUCAGCUCUGUGGUAUCUGCAUUUGGGGUGUUUGUAUUUCCAUAUAUCUGUCAGUCUGUCUGUCAUCUGCCUCCCUGUCCCCCUGACUUAUGUGGCUGUUGAUAAAUACCCUCCGUUGGUGAUUAAAAGGAAGUGACCUCAUCAGUUUGUCUUUGCAACCACAAAGGUUUGGUUGUAACGUGACAUUCCAUCCUAUUACUCUGGUUUACACCAAAUUCAACAGCUUGUGGCCUGCAGAUACUCAGGAUAAAGAGCAGAAAGAGACUGACCUUGACAACCUCAUUUCUCAUUCCUUUCUUGUUAUAGGUAAUAUAGCUGAAAAUGUGGUUUUAAUUAUAGUACUAAUGAAAACUGAAAAUCCAGACAGACACUUGACAAACUCUGGUACGCUUUAUAUUACAUUUGUGCUAACUACAAAGUAUCCAGCUGGGUGUAACAUUAUAUCUCUUUUCCUUGAGCAUCCGCCUGACUUAAGCUGUAUAAUUAAUGUGUACUUUGGCUGCAGGUCAGCUUACAGUUGGUUUUUUAGAAUUUUUACAUUUUUUAAGAUGUUGUAAUGAAACGAAUAUGUUUAUUACCUCUGUGCCUGCAUUCCCCAGAGGGAUUUAAUACCUGUGGAGGAGCACCGGCUGGGAGAACUUGAAUAAAAUACCUCUGCCAGCUGAGCCUGAUGCA